Molecule: non-coding RNA, 1314 nt
Organism: Callithrix jacchus (white-tufted-ear marmoset)
Lineage: Eukaryota; Metazoa; Chordata; Mammalia; Primates; Cebidae
Source: the annotation of a RefSeq genome assembly
ACAGUGCAUUCUGCUGUGCAGAACAGGAAGCACUGGAUCUCAGGAAGCCUGAAAGGGGAGGACACUGGACAGUGACAUCACAGGAUACCCCUCCCAUCAGGAAAAGCAAGGCUGAGAACUCAGCUUCUCCCCAGGAGGACCUAGCCCUGAGCACAGACACAGUGUUGCCUUCCCCUUCGUGCCAUGGGCUCCAGGCUGCUCUGUUGGAUGCUGCUUUGUCUCCUGGUAGCAGGCCUGGUAGAGGCUGAAGUCACACAAACUCCAAGACACCUGAUCAAAAUGAGAGGACAGCAAGUGACACUGAAGUGCUCCCCUGUCUCUGGGCAUAACAGUGUGUACUGGUACCAACAGGCCCCAGGACAGGGCCCUCAGUUCCUCUUUGAAUACUACAAUGCGAUAGAGAGACAAAAAGGAAACUUCCCUGAUCGAUUCUCAGGGCACCAGUUCUCUAACUCUACCUCUGAGAUGAAUGUGAACGCCUUGGAGCUGGGGGACUCGGCCCUUUAUCUUUGUGCCAGCAGCUUGGCACAGCCUUACAAAGCCAACCACAUUCUGUGCAUAAACCUCCCCGGCCCAAUGUGCAGCAGCAUCAGCCCUGUCAUAUCUGUGAGAACCUGGGACUGCAGGGGGAAAGACAGGUAAUUUAGGAUGCUAGGACGCACAGCCUGGGGCUUUCUGCUACUCAGGGCUGGGGGAAACAAGGCCAAGAGGGGCUGCUCAGAGGAUGAUGCUGCUUCUGUAGGUUGACUGCAGAAUUACUUUCUCUGCUGACAUGGUAAGCUACCGGGUAGAGGGCAUGUUUGUAAUUUAACAGCUGGUACACUCUUUUCCAGGACAAGGGAUCUCAUUUUGUGGUCAAGAUUGUUGAUAACAGCAUAGUGUAGAAGGGAGAAUCACAGGGUUUGCUUUAUACAACUGAGGGAAAAGAAAUUGAGAUUUGGGGAAAGUCAAGGAGAGAGAAAACGAAAGAUGACUGAAAAUAGAGAUAGAGCAGACGAUGAUGAAAAGUGGUGUUCUUUGUACCAUGAACUCUCUUUCCCCUCCUCCCAAAGUUUUCAAUACCUAUAAAAUAUAAGGUAAAGUUUUCUGGCAACUGGAAUCACCUGGUAGCCAGUCCCAGUAGGGGACAUCACCAAAGAGCCACUUGUCUGGUAUGAGAGCCCUGGUUCGUUUCUGAUGUCUUCCUUCUUCUGGCCUUAACCCUGACUCCAGGUACUUUCCAAAACAUAGAGGAAGGUAAAAUCACCCUUGUUCCUAAAGGAGCACACACUCUCCAGUUUCCCCCGAAAUAAAUUCUGCUUCUCUGGAUCCCUU